Monodelphis domestica (gray short-tailed opossum) is the source of this 952-nucleotide long non-coding RNA. RefSeq lists it as uncharacterized. NCBI's taxonomy places the organism in Eukaryota, Metazoa, Chordata, Mammalia, Didelphimorphia, Didelphidae. The record is from RefSeq and is a predicted model, not a curated record.
GUAGGGAGGGACCCCUGAGGCACUCUGGGGGAUGCAGUUUCCUCAACCAUCGCACCCCCUCCCCCCACUUCAAAGCCACAGGAUCUAUUGAACUGAAUUGAUCAUACUGGCUUCCGAAGGGGAAAUGAAGUUCCUUCCGAUACCUGGGAAGCUGUAAUGCCAGAGUAUUGGUUAAUGGGCAAUUGAAGCAGCUUUGGUAUAAUGGAUGAGAUAUCAUGAUUGCAACUCCUGCCUUCUUUCUAUCAAAAACCUCAACCUUUAAUUCCAACCCUGAUAAGAUAGAAUUCAAGACCCCAAUGGAUCUGGACGCUCUUGCCUCUCAGAAUUGAUUUCACUUCUAUAUCAGUGGCUGCUGAGGAGAGGAAGAGUCCUGCUUCUAGAUUGCCACCAUGCUUACCCAGAAGUCCUGUGUAUAUCCUUUGAUCCAACAACGCCACUAUUUGUCAAGCAUCCCAAAGAGAUCAACAGAAAAAAGAUCUAUAUGAACAAGAAUACUUAUUAUAGCUCUCUUUUUGUAGCAAAUCAUUAGAAAAAAGAUAAUAAGUGCUUUCCAAAUGGGGAAUUAGUGAAUAAAUUGAGGUAUGAAAAUGUAAAGAUAGAGACUGGAUCUGUGAUUUCAUAAUUAUAGGUAACUCCCUCUAAAAUGUAGGUCAGCACCUUCUCUGUAACUUAAUCUUAAAUGGAUGCUUAGAGCAUUAAGUAAUUCAAAUGAUUUGCCCAGAGACACAUAGCCAGUAUAAAUUAUAGGCUGGACUUACACCCAGAUCUUGUUGGUUUUAAGGACUGCAUGUUAUUCAUUAUACCACAUUUUCCUUCAUAUGAAAAUAGUGGGAUUUUAUUACAUAAUAAGAAAUGAGAAACUUGAUUAAUUCAGAGAAAUGUGGAGAGUCUUGUAAGAUUUGAUGCAGAAAAGUUAGUAGAGUCAGAACAAUUUACAUGUUUACCGUAACAA